GAGUUUGAUCGUGGCUCAGAUUGAACGCUGGCGGCAUGCCUUACACAUGCAAGUCGAACGGCAGCAUGAUCUAGCUUGCUAGAUUGAUGGCGAGUGGCGAACGGGUGAGUAAUACAUCGGAACGUGCCCUGUAGUGGGGAGUAACUAGUCGAAGAUUAGCUAAUACCGCAUACGACCUGAGGGUGGAAAGUAGGGGGACCGGCAAGGCCUCAUGCUAUAGGAGCGGCCGAUGUCUGAUUAGCUAGUUGGUGGGGUAAAGGGCCCG
This 265-nucleotide ribosomal RNA is filed under the name uncultured microorganism. RNAcentral describes it as "partial 16S ribosomal RNA". It matches the Rfam family "Bacterial small subunit ribosomal RNA", at positions 9 to 267 of the family's 1533-position model. The record is from RNAcentral.